AAACCGUGAGGGCAGAGAAGGGGGCCCAAAGCGGACAAUAUCGUGCUACGGCGGAGCCGAUCCCGGGAUGUGACAAUUUGGUAUCAGAGCCACUCUGCCGUGUGGUACGAGUGUGCCGACGAGGACGUCGGGCCCUUAAGGGGGUGGAUUGUAAGAUCCCACAUCAACCAAACGGAGAGGGGGUGAUGUGCCUUAUAUGUGCACACCCGCAUCCAUCUAGCACGAG
RNAcentral lists this long non-coding RNA (226 nucleotides) under Prunus persica (peach). RNAcentral's name for it is "long non-coding RNA (PPER_LNC002401)". Lineage: Eukaryota; Viridiplantae; Streptophyta; Magnoliopsida; Rosales; Rosaceae. The record is from RNAcentral.